Molecule: unclassified non-coding RNA, 231 nt
Filed under: fungal sp.
Lineage: Eukaryota; Fungi
Description: partial internal transcribed spacer region
Rfam family: Eukaryotic small subunit ribosomal RNA (bases 1-48)
Source: RNAcentral
AAAAGUCGUAACAAGGUUUCCGUAGGUGAACCUGCGGAAGGAUCAUUACCUUUUAUCGGGGAGCUGUAGUUUACUAUAUGCUCCUGUCUGGACCCAUGUCUAUUGCGUACUUAUGUUUCCUCGGCGGACUUGUUCCGCCGAUUGGACUCUUCAAAACCUUUUGUAAUUGUAAUCAGCGUCUGAGAAAUAUUUAAUAUUUACAACUUUCAACAACGGAUCUCUUGGUUCUGG